Hemicordylus capensis (graceful crag lizard) is the source of this 1302-nucleotide long non-coding RNA. RefSeq lists it as uncharacterized. The record is from RefSeq and is a predicted model, not a curated record. NCBI's taxonomy places the organism in Eukaryota, Metazoa, Chordata, Lepidosauria, Squamata, Cordylidae. The transcript has 2 exons.
CGGGAGGAGAGAGGGCGGAGCCGGAGCGACAAGACGUCGUCGCGGGGCGCGCGUGCGUGCGCGCCCUCCCCCUGCGCGCGCCGUUGGGGCUUUGCUGGACAUGCGGGAGGGAGCCGUCGGUUGCUCGCCUCGCGCCGGAAUGAAUUUUGUUCUGGGCGGCAGUAUCAAGGCACUGUGUGCGCAUGUGCAUUCAGAGUGAGGCCUUCUGGAUUCAACCUGAGCGGGAUCUAAAAUUAACCGAGCGGACAUCCCAAAACCCGUGAGCGUUCGCACAUGCGCAUGCCUGAGAGGGAACACUGCUAGCAACCAUGCCAUGGGAACCAAGGAUGCACCUAGAAUCCAUAUUUAAUUUCUUCUGGUUCGGAUAGGGAGCUGUUUUUCACCAGCGAAAAAGAAUGUGGGUGUUGCUGACAGAUAAAGACUGGUUUCUCAUAGGGUGGAAACAAAAAGAUUUCCAGUUUCACGUCUUGGGGAAGGGUGAGGCCCAGCUGCGCCUCUGCUAUCUGAGAGAGAGAUCUACCAGGAAUGAAGUUUUGCUGUCCUGGAUUAUGGUUCUUAAGAGUGACCAGGGAGACAAAUUACUCCUGUGCAUGGUCUUAUGGAUGGAUUCAGAUGCAAAAGGAGCAUCGAGGUUUCCCUGCCAGUAGCUUGUUCCGAGUAGAUGCCACUGGAAAUAAGGGUCAAAGGCUACAAAAUAAAAUUUAAAAAAGAAUUAGUUGGUGAGCCAUUUGAGCCCAAGUGUUGUGCUGAUGGCUUCACUGAAAUGGAGGAGGGAUUUAAGGACAUAAGAGAAGUGGCAUUGUGGUGACAUUCUGUGAGGUGGUUCCAGGCAUAAAGGGCAGCAAGGGCGAAAGGGGAGAGGCAUCUGUGGGGACGGGAGAGCUAAUGGGAGGUGGUUCUAAGCAUAUGGGGCAGUAAGGGAGAAAGGGGAGAGACCUUUAAGGGGACAGGAAAUGGAGAUCCGGGAGGUGGUUCCAGGCAUAUGGGGCAACAAGGGAGAAAUCAUUUGAAGAAGCAGAAGACCUUCACGCAGCUGAGACUGGUGGAGCUGGAUGAUCAAAGGACACGGGCACAGAUGUAUCGGGCUCGAAGAGUGAGGAGGAAAAGAGGAGCGAGGCCCGGAAGGUGCGAUACGAACCCGAUGUAUGAAUGGCAUCCUUGUGUAUGAAGUGGAUCUCUGAGAUCAUAGCAGGGCAUAUGGAACGGAGCAGCGUCCCCGAGCGAAGCAAUUACAGAGAACUGAUUUAUUAUAUUGCCAGAGCUGUACCUGCACUGUCUGAUAAUUGCAUUAUAAUGACCGUC